RNAcentral lists this long non-coding RNA (462 nucleotides) under Macaca mulatta (Rhesus monkey). Its description in RNAcentral is "lncRNA (ENSMMUG00000056006.1)". The record is from RNAcentral. Lineage: Eukaryota; Metazoa; Chordata; Mammalia; Primates; Cercopithecidae.
AUUCUUCACAAGCUCCCUGGAGGAUGCUGACGGUCCAGGAACGCUGCUCCCGGACCACCUUCCCAAAAGACCAAAGCUCAGCUUCGAGAAACAAUGAAAAGGAACAUCUAUCCAGCUCCCUGGUAGUCAAAGAGGAGGAGGCUCAGAGUGGUUAUGGCACCUGCCAAAGGUCACACAGCUGGUACAUCUGGAGCUCUGCCCCUGGGAGCCAAGCAUGCCAAGCUUUAUUAGAGACCUGAGCUCUUGGUAUUUCACUGGGCUUGAGGGAAAGGGCCUCCUUGCCUCCUAAGUGGGAGUGGGAGUGUAGCCAUGGUGGGAGGUAGGAGGGCGCCUCACUUUAUAAAUUCUUAUUCUCAUGGCAUCCUGAGAGGACUUCCCUCAACAUUACACAGCUAAUAUAAGUUAGUGGAAGCUUUGGGGGCUCAGCAACAUGGAGCUCUUCUGUUUUGGGGUGGUUGCCCC